This 72-nucleotide transfer RNA is filed under the name Coniophora puteana RWD-64-598 SS2. RNAcentral describes it as "tRNA-His (GTG) (tRNA-His-GTG-4-1, tRNA-His-GTG-4-2)". It matches the Rfam family "tRNA". Rfam says of the family: Transfer RNA (tRNA) molecules are approximately 80 nucleotides in length. Their secondary structure includes four short double-helical elements and three loops (D, anti-codon, and T loops). The record is from RNAcentral. Lineage: Eukaryota; Fungi; Basidiomycota; Agaricomycetes; Boletales; Coniophoraceae.
GUCCCUGUCGAUUAGUGGUUAAAUCACCCCGUUGUGGCCGUGGAGCCGCAGGUUCAAUUCCUGCCAGGGACA